UACGUAGGGUGCGAGCGUUAAUCGGAAUUACUGGGCGUAAAGCGUGCGUAGGUGGUUCGUUGUGUCUGUGGUGAAAGCCCCGGGCUUAACCUGGGAAUGGCCAUGGAAACUGGCGAGCUGGAGUGUGGCAGAGGGGGGUGGAAUUCCGCGUGUAGCAGUGAAAUGCGUAGAGAUGCGGAGGAACACCGAUGGCGAAGGCAGCCCCUUGGGCUAACACUGACGCUGAGGCACGAAAGCGUGGGGAGCAAACAGG
RNAcentral lists this ribosomal RNA (253 nucleotides) under uncultured bacterium. Its description in RNAcentral is "partial 16S ribosomal RNA". It matches the Rfam family "Bacterial small subunit ribosomal RNA", at positions 524 to 776 of the family's 1533-position model. The record is from RNAcentral.